CCGCCGCGCCGGCCGCUGGAGCGAGCGCCACCCGGGCCACCUGGCUGCGGCGAAGCGGCGAGACUCGGUGGCCACCGCGGGACUCCGAGGAGCUGCGGCCGCUGAGCGCAUCGGAGGGCGGGCGCGCCGAGGCGCCGGGUGGGAGCGGAGGUGCGGAUAGGGACUCUUUACCGGAAGUCGGAGGGGUCAGACGGAAGCAGAACGUGAGGUGGCCCCGGGGCCGGGAGGGACACGUGAGGAGCGGGCGGCGCGCUGGGUUGCUUUCUCGGGGGUCGGGUGAGGGCCAGGCGGCGGUCCCUACCCGGAUCCGCCUUCCUCAAGGCGGGUCUGCCCUUCGGGGAGGGCGUGUCGGUCUCAGCCUCUGGGGCCUGCCUGGUGUGGAGGACAGGAGAGAAGCAUUUCUUCUCCUACUGUAUUCCUUCAGCAUCUUCACUUCUGCGGGGACCUAGUUUGCCCCCACCUGAUGCAACCCAGAAAAUGGACUGACUGCGAGUGCCUUGGGGCGGAGAAUGUGUCUUGCUACGUGUAAAGCACCUAGAACCCUGCCAGAUUCAGGGGACACAGCAUCCUGCCGUUUUCCUGCCGUCCCCCGCCCGCCACACAGUAGGCGCUCCAGUGGCUCGGGGCAUCUACCAGGCAGGCCGCGCUGUCCUGCCCUGCCGGGGCUGGAGUGGAGCAACCCUCCGGGGCCACCCACAUCUGGGUACCUUUUCCCCACUUUUUCCACCCCAGCCGCGCACAGUCACCAGAAAACUCUUUUAGGUAUCUGACCUUCAUUUGAACCUAUGUUCCCUCACUUGAACUUCUUUUUCCUCAUUCAUGAGAUUCUAAAGGAAAUAUAUGGGAUUGGGACUGGUAGAACUACGGAUAAUGGGAUCUCCCUCGGUAGAGACAGAGCCGACCUCAAAACAAUGUGCGAACUUUAGACCUUGGACCCUUUAGAAGUUUUAAUUUAACUUACCCAGCCAGCACAGUAGACUCUUUUUAAAAUGUGUUGCAGUUAAACUGGAAGCAAGUAGAAAGUAGGUAACUUUUUUUUUUUUUUUUGAGCAGUGAAUCUAUUGUUUUUUAAAGUGAAAUGACUUCAGGAAAUAAUAGGGGAAGAAACACCAAAAUUCCCCUCAAUGUCCUAGAACUGUCCAGAUAAAGGUAAAGACUUAGAUAAACGUGGAGAAUGAUUGAACCAGCAGUUUUCAGUAGUCCAACUGAAAUUAACCUCCUAGAUAGUCCAGGCAAAAAUGAUCAUUGUAUUCUGCCAAUGUAGGAAAUCAGUUUUAUUUCCCAUCUAAGGUAAAAAGUAGAUCAAGGGACCAUUGCAAAACCCUUUAAAAAUUAACCUAGCCUAGCCAACAUGGUGAAACCCCGUCUCUACCAAAAAUAUAAAAAUUAGCCGGGUGUGGUGGUGGGCGCCUGUAAUCCCAGCUACUCGGGAGGCUGAUACAGGAGAAUUGCUUGAAUCCGGGAGGUGGAGGUUGCAGUCAGCCGAGAUCAUGCACUCCAGCCUGGGCGACAGAGCGAGACUCCGUCUCAAAAAAUAAAUAAAUAAAUAAAUAAAUAAAGUAACCUAAAGGAAACUGGAACUAAAAAACCAGUUGAAACAAAAAAAUACCUGUACCCGGCUGUGGUACAGGCCAGGGCUGCUGUGAGGGGAAGCUCCUGGAGAGGGUGACAUGGGGCAGGGACCCAAAUGAGCAUGGGCAUGAGGAUCCUGGGGAGAAACGCUCCAGGUGGAGGGCACAGCGAGGGCAAAGGCUCUGAGGGGGGAGUCUGAGGAACAGCAAGGAGGCCUGCAAUGGAGCAGGUCGUCAAUGGUGUCCCGUUAUAUUCUUUCUUUAAUAGAAAUACAAACACUUGGCCUGGCGCGGUGGCUCACACCUGUAAUCCCAGCACUCUGGGAGGCCGAGGCGGAUGGAUCACCUGAGGUCAGGAGUUCAAGACCAGCGUGGCCAACAUGGUGAAACCCCAUCGCUACUAAAAAUACGAAAAAAUUAGCUGGGCGUGGUGGUGGGCAUCUGUGAUCUCAGCUACGCAGGAUGCUGAGGCAGGAGAAUCGCUUGAACCCAGGAGGCGGAGGUUACAGUGACCAAAGAGGGCACCACUGCACUCCAGCCUGGGCAACAAGAGCGAAACUUUAUCUAAAAAAAAUAAAAAUAAAAAAAUACAAUCACUUUUCUCUGAUUGGAAUCAAGGUCCCAGAAUACAAUCUUAAGAACAAGUUUUGGCCAGUGUGGUGGCUCACGCCUGUAAUCCCAGCACUUUGGGAGGCAGUGGCCGGUGGAUCACCUGAGGUCAGGAGUUCGAGACCAGCCUGGCCAAUUUUUAGUAGAGCCCAUCUCUACUAAAAAUACAAAAAUUAGCUGGGUGUGGUGAUGCGCACCUGUAGUCCCAGCUACUUGGGAGGCUGAGGCAGGAGAAUGGUGUGAACCUGGGAGGCGGUGCUUGCAGUGAGCGGAGAUCACACCACUGCACUCCAGCCUGGGCGACAGAGCGAGACUCCGUCUCAAAAAAAAAAUAGUAAGUUUCAGGUCGAUGGAAGUUGAAUAAGAAGGCCUAGGCUGGAUACAGUGGCCUACACCUAUAAUCCCAGCACUUUGGAAGGCCAAGGCAGGCAGAUCCUUUGAACCAAGGAGUAGGAGACCAGCCUGGGCAACAUAGUGAGACCCUCCUCUCCAUAAAAAAUUUUUCAAAAUUAAAAAAAAAGAAGGCCUGAAGCUGACAUAGCUGAGAAAGUUUGUUUUAACUCACUACCAUUGAAUAAAAACUUAAUAGUUUUAUCAAGAUAUAAUUUACAUACUAUGAAAUUCACCUAUUUUGUGUACAAUUUAAUGAUUCUCAGUAAAUUUACACAGUAAAUUUGCACAACCAUUGCCACUAAUUUCAGAACAUUUCCAUUACCCCAAAAAGAUCCUUCACGAUGGUGGGCAGUUUGGUUCCCAUCCUUAGCCCCAGGCAACCACUCAUCUACAUUUUCUCUCUAUGGAUUUGUCCAGAUUUUUCACAUAAGUAGAAUCUUACAGCAUGCAGCCUUUUGUGUCUGCCUUCUUUCAUUUGUCAUAAUGUUUUUGAGGUUUAUCUAAGGUUGUGGCAUGUAGCAGUAUUUCAUUCCUUAUUAUUGCUAUGUCAUAUUCCAUGUAUGGACAUACCACAUUUUGUGUCUACUUUCCAAUUGUGGAUGUUUAGAUUGUGUCAACUUUUUGAGUAUUAUGAAAAUGCUGCUGGGGCUGAGAUUGGUGGCUCACUCCUGUAAUCCCAACACUUUAGGAUACCGAGAUGGGAGGAUCACUUGAAUACCCCGGAGUUUGAAACCAGCCUGGGCAACAUAGAGAGACCCUGUCUCUAUGAAAAACUUUAAAAAUAAAAAAUUAGCUGGUUGGCUGGGCGUGGUGGCUCAUGCCUAUAAUCCCAGCACUUUGGGAGGCCGAGGUGGGUGGAUCACCUGAGAUCAGGAGUUCGAGACCAGCCUGGCCUACAUGGUGAAAUCCCGUCUCUACUAAAAAUACAAAAAAUUAGCCAGGCGUGGUGGCGGGCACCUGUAAUCUCAGCUACUUGGGAGGCUGAGGCAGGAGAAUUGCUUGAACCCAGGAGGCGGAGGUUACAGUGAGCCGAGAUUGCACCAUUGCACUGAAGCCUGGGUGACACAGCAAUACUCUGUCUCCAAAAAAAAAAAAAAAAAAAAAUUAGCUGGUCAUGGUGACACGCACCUAUAGUCCCAGCUACUAGGGAGGCUGAAGCAGAAGGACCGCUUGAGCCCAGGAGAUCGAGGUUGCUGUGAGCUACGAAUGCGCCACUGCACUCUAGCCUGGGCAACAGACCAAGACCCUGUCUCGUUCAGUUAAUAGAGUUGCUAAAACACACACACACACACACAAAGAAGAAGAAAGAAAAAUAAUAAUGCUGCUAUGAACAUUUGUGAACAUAUAUCUUCAUGUGGAUAUAUGUUUUCAUUUAUCUUGGGUUGGUUCCUACAAACGAAAUUGUUGGGUGAUGUGGUAAGUUUAUUUAGUUAUUUUUAUUUUAUUUAUUUAUUUAUGGAAACUACCUUUUCUCUGGACUUCAGAAGGCUUAAGCUUUAUAUGAAAAUAUCAGAGUAGGCUGGGCACGGUGGCUCAUGCCUGUAAUCCCAGCACUUUGGGAGACUGAGGUGGGCUGAUCACCUGAGGUCAAGAGAUCGAGACCAUCCUUGCCAACAUGGUGAAACCCUGUCUCUAUUAAAAAUACAAAAAUUAGCCAGGCAUGGUGGCUCACACCUGUAAUCCCAGCACUUUGGGAGGCCAAGGCGGGCAGAUCACGAGGUCAGGAGAUCAAGGCCAUCCUGGCUAACACAGUGAAACCCCGUCUCUACUAAAAAUACAAAAAAAUAGGUGGGUGUGGUGGCGGGCGCCUGUAGUCCCAGCUACUUGGGAGGCUGAGGCAGGAGAAUGGCAUGAACUCGGGAGGCGGAGCUUGCAGUGAGGUGAGAUGGCGCCACUGCACUCCAGCCUGGGCAACAGAGCGAGACUCUGUCUCAAAAAAAAGAAAAUACAAAAAUUAGCUGGGCAUGGUGGUGUGCGCCUGUAGUCCUAACUACUCGGGAGGCUGAGGCAGGAGAAUCGCUUGAACCUGGCAGGCAGAGGUUGCAGUGAGUCAAGAUCAUGCCACUGCACUCCAGCCUGGUGACAGAGUGACACUCCAUCUCAAAAAAAUAAUAUAUAUAUAUAUAUAUAUUAGAGUAAUGCACCUUAAAAGAAGUGGUGUGUCAGGCAGCCUCUAUGGCGGUCCCAAAUGAUUCUUGCCUCCUGGUGUUCAGACACUGUGAAAUCCUCCCCACCUGAAUUUUAAAACAAUACUUUUUUUUUUUUUUUUCGAGACAGGGUCUUACUCUGCCAACCAGGCUGGAGUACAGUUCCACAGUCUGGCUCACUGCAGCGUCUGCCUCCCAGGCGGUCCCGAGCAAUCCUCCCAUCUCAGCCUUCAGAGUAUCAGGGACUACAGGCGUGCACCACCACACCCAGCUAAUUUUUGUUAGUUUUGGGGGAUUUGUUUGUUUGUUUUUAGGCAGAGUCUUGCUGUCUUGCCCAGGCUGGAAUGCAGUGGCACAAUCUCAGUUCACUGUAACCUCCACCUCCUGGGUUCAAGUGAUCCUCCCCGCUCAGCCUUCCAUGUAGCUGGGAUUAUAGGCACUCACCACCAUGUCCAGCUAAUUUUUGUAUUUUUAGUAGAGACGACAUUUUUUCGUGUUGGCCAGAACUCCUCACCUCAAGUGAUCUGCCUGCCUUGGCCUCCCAAAGUGCUGGGAUUACAGGUGUGAGCCACCACACCACCCAACCAACAAGUGAACAUUUUGAAUGCUCUCCUUUCCCCCAAAUGAUUUUCAGACACCCCUUUAAACAAAAGCAGAGAGUCAGAGAGUUGUCUGCAAAGGCAGUGAACAGUACUCUCCUGAAAGAGUUCUGAUAUUGAGAAGUGUUGCUAAAAUUUCAACUUCAAAAAUAGCUAUGGUCAUUUCAGCCACUAUUUCAGAAAUGAAAAAAUAUCUCAAGUGAGAGAGCUUGGAGACAGACCUGCAGACUUGAGAAUCUAGUCCAGUAGAUUCUAUACUUGCUUUCUGAUUUUCAUUGACCCUUCAGCAAGCCACAGGGCCCUUUUAUUAGCCUGUUAAUAAUUUUCUUUUCUUUUCUUUUCUUUUUUGUUUUUUUUGAGACAGAUUCUUGCUCUGUUGCCCAGGCUAGAGUGCAGUGGUGUGAUCUCAGCUCACUGAAACCUCCACCUCCUGAAUUCAAGUGAUUCUUCUGCCUCAGCCUCCCGAGUAGCUGGGAUUACAGGCGCCUGCCACUGUGCAUGGCUAAUUUUUGUAUUUUUAGUAGAGGUGGGGUUUCGCCAUGUUGGCCAGGGUGGUCUCAAACUCCUGACCUCAUGAUCUGCCCGCCCCGGCCUCCCAAAGUGCUGGGAUUACAGGUGUGAGCCACUGCGCCC
This 5952-nucleotide long non-coding RNA is filed under the name Homo sapiens (human). RNAcentral's name for it is "HSALNT0370485". Lineage: Eukaryota; Metazoa; Chordata; Mammalia; Primates; Hominidae. The record is from RNAcentral.